GACGAACGCUGGCGGCGUGCUUAACACAUGCAAGUCGAACGAAGAGCGAUGGAAGCUUGCUUCUAUCAAUCUUAGUGGCGAACGGGUGAGUAACGCGUAAUCAACCUGCCCUUCAGAGGGGGACAACAGUUGGAAACGACUGCUAAUACCGCAUACGAUCUAAUCUCGGCAUCGAGGAUAGAUGAAAGGUGGCCUCUACAUGUAAGCUAUCACUGAAGGAGGAGAUUGCGUCUGAUUAGCUAGUUGGAGGGGUAACGGCCCACCAAGGCGAUGAUCAGUAGCCGGUCUGAGAGGAUGAACGGCCACAUUGGGACUGAGACACGGCCCAGACUCCUACGGGAGGCAGCAGUGGGGAAUCUUCCGCAAUGGACGAAAGUCUGACGGAGCAACGCCGCGUGAGUGAUGACGGCCUUCGGGUUGUAAAGCUCUGUUAAUCGGGACGAAAGGCCUUCUUGCGAAUAGUGAGAAGGAUUGACGGUACCGGAAUAGAAAGCCACGGCUAACUACGUG
Molecule: ribosomal RNA, 510 nt
Filed under: uncultured bacterium
Lineage: Bacteria
Description: partial 16S ribosomal RNA
Rfam family: Bacterial small subunit ribosomal RNA
Source: RNAcentral